UGAAAAGUAGUUAGGGUUGCCACCUUUCUUGGAAAAACAUACCGGCCUUACUAAUUUAUGUGUGGGUGACAUCACAUGAUGUAAAUCACAAGGAGUGACAUAAGAGAAAAUGCUGUAAAAUCACCAAAAAACUAUUUAGUUUAAAUCUGCUGUAAAGAUGGAUUCCUCCCAGUGCCCCCAUAUGUCGAUUACUCCAGGUCUCAGUGUUCCUAUGUAUCAGUGUCUCAGUGCCCCAUGUCUCCCAGUGUCCCUAAGUGUCGUGUCCCCAGGCCUCCCAGUGAUCCUAUGUAUCAGUGUCUCAAUGCCCUAUGUCUCCCUGUG
Molecule: non-coding RNA, 321 nt
Organism: Pelobates cultripes (western spadefoot toad)
Lineage: Eukaryota; Metazoa; Chordata; Amphibia; Anura; Pelobatidae
Source: the annotation of a GenBank genome assembly